This 460-nucleotide ribosomal RNA is filed under the name uncultured bacterium. Its description in RNAcentral is "partial 16S ribosomal RNA". It matches the Rfam family "Bacterial small subunit ribosomal RNA", at positions 338 to 795 of the family's 1533-position model. The record is from RNAcentral.
CCUACUGUGGGCUGCAGUGAGGAAUAUUGGUCAAUGGACGAGAGUCUGAACCAGCCAAGUAGCGUGAAGGAUGACUGCCCUAUGGGUUGUAAACUUCUUUUAUAUGGGAAUAAAAUGUUCCACGUGUGGGAUUUUGUAUGUACCAUAUGAAUAAGGAUGGGCUAAUUCCGUGCCAUCAGCCUCGGUAAUACAGAGGGUGCGAGCGUGAAUCGGAAUGAAUGGGCGGAAAGCGCUCGUAGGCGGUAUGGCAAGUCAAGGGUGAAAUCCCCGCGCUCAACGUGGGAACUGCCUUUGAAACUGGCAAACUGGAGUGUGUGAGAGGAUAGUGGAAUUCCAGGUGUAGGAGUGAAAUCCGUAGAUAUCUGGAGGAACAUCAGUGGCGAAGGCGACUAUCUGGCACAUAACUGACGCUGAGGAGCGAAAGCGUGGGUAGCAAACAGGAUUAGAUACCCUUGUAGUC